Molecule: ribosomal RNA, 253 nt
Filed under: uncultured bacterium
Lineage: Bacteria
Also listed under: 1 other name
Description: partial 16S ribosomal RNA
Rfam family: Bacterial small subunit ribosomal RNA
Source: RNAcentral
UACGUAGGGUGCGAGCGUUAAUCGGAAUUACUGGGCGUAAAGCGUGCGCAGGCGGUUUUGUAAGCCAGAUGUGAAAUCCCCGGGCUUAACCUGGGAAUGGCAUUUGGGACUGCAAGGCUGGAGUGUGGCAGAGGAGACUGGAAUUCCUGGUGUAGCAGUGAAAUGCGUAGAUAUCAGGAGGAAUACCGAUGGCGAAGGCAGGUCUCUGGGCUGACACUGACGCUCAUGCACGAAAGCGUGGGGAGCAAACAGG